CCGAGCCCCGGAAGGGACAUGUCCGUAUGGCGAAGCGACAAUGAAGGACACUCACCCGGACGAGAAUUUUAUUGAGUUUUAUUUUGAAAUCGGCCUGAAAUACAAAGACAUUCAAGCAGUGCGAUGCGCUAAGAGUCUGCCAUGCAGACCAGCGAUCCUGAUACUGUUGUCGGCCUUGGAUGAUGAGGUCCAGUUACCAGGAGCACUAGUCUGCAGCUUACUGGUUCCGUCCUGCAGCUCCUCCACACUGUCCUCCUCUCUACAGACCAAAUCAAGAAAAGGGAACCAGGAAGCUGCUGUGGAUCCUCUGCAGUAUCUGGAGAGGUCAGAGGAACGGUUCUUGGAACAGAUCGGAAGACACCAAGACGUGACCUCUGCCAUGCUCCAGAACAUCCAGAAGAUGAAUCCAGAAAAUGAAAACCUUGGUUGCACUGAUGGGACGCAUGGUGUCGGUGCUGGAGCAACUGUCCCAGAAUUAAACUGCAUUGUUGGCUAUUGGCUUUUCUAGAAAAUAAAUCUUUUUUUAGUACUUCACCUGUUUUGUAUUUUACCCAUGCACUUUGGGUGAAUAAACAGAAAUUUGUGAUGAGAGAUGCAAA
This is a long non-coding RNA of Acanthochromis polyacanthus (spiny chromis), 599 nucleotides long. RefSeq lists it as uncharacterized. NCBI's taxonomy places the organism in Eukaryota, Metazoa, Chordata, Actinopteri, Pomacentridae. The transcript has 3 exons. The record is from RefSeq and is a predicted model, not a curated record.